AGUCGAUGGGAAACGGGUUAAUAUUCCCGUACUUCUUACAAUUGCGAUGGGGGGACGGAGAAGGCUAGGUGGGCCUGGCGACGGUUGUCCAGGUUCAAGUGCGUAGGCUGAAGAGUUAGGUAAAUCCGGCUCUUUCUAAGGCUGAGACACGACGUCGAGCACCUACGGGUGUGAAGUCAUUGAUGCCAUGCUUCCAGGAAAAGCCUCUAAGCUUCAGAUUG
Molecule: ribosomal RNA, 221 nt
Filed under: Vibrio alginolyticus
Lineage: Bacteria; Pseudomonadati; Pseudomonadota; Gammaproteobacteria; Vibrionales; Vibrionaceae
Description: partial 23S ribosomal RNA
Rfam family: Bacterial large subunit ribosomal RNA
Source: RNAcentral